GCGCCCGUAGCUCAGUUGGCAGAGCAGUGUGACGGUACCCCACGGUCCCGGGUUCGAGCCCCGGCGCCCAGCA
Non-coding RNA from Phthorimaea operculella (potato tuberworm), 73 nucleotides. The record is from the annotation of a GenBank genome assembly. NCBI's taxonomy places the organism in Eukaryota, Metazoa, Arthropoda, Insecta, Lepidoptera, Gelechiidae.